This 510-nucleotide ribosomal RNA is filed under the name uncultured bacterium. Its description in RNAcentral is "bacterial SSU rRNA". It matches the Rfam family "Bacterial small subunit ribosomal RNA", at positions 19 to 518 of the family's 1533-position model. The record is from RNAcentral.
CUGGCUCAGGAUGAACGCUAGCUACAGGCUUAACACAUGCAAGUCGAGGGGCAUCAUGGAGUUGCUUGCAAACUCUGAUGGCGACCGGCGCACGGGUGAGUAACGCGUAUCCAACCUUCCCUAUAGUAGAGGAUAGCCCGGCGAAAGUCGGAUUAAUACUCUAUGUUUUCCGUUGCAGACAUCUAAGAUGGAACAAAGGCUUGCCGCUAUAGGAUGGGGAUGCGUCUGAUUAGGUAGUCGGCGGGGUAACGGCCCACCGAGCCAUCGAUCAGUAGGGGUUCUGAGAGGAAGGUCCCCCCACAUUGGAACUGAGACACGGUCCAAACUCCUACGGGAGGCAGCAGUGAGGAAUAUUGGUCAAUGGGCGAGAGCCUGAACCAGCCAAGUAGCGUGCAGGACGACGGCCCUAUGGGUUGUAAACUGCUUUUAUGCGGGGAUAAAGUUCACUACGUGUAGUGUUUUGUAGGUACCGCAUGAAUAAGGGCCGGCUAAUUCCGUGCCAGCAGCCGC